This is a non-coding RNA of Plasmodium reichenowi, 4001 nucleotides long. The record is from RefSeq and is a predicted model, not a curated record. Lineage: Eukaryota; Apicomplexa; Aconoidasida; Haemosporida; Plasmodiidae.
UGUUUUGUGAAAAAAGAGGAGAAACAUCAGGUAGUUAAUAACUUGUGUUUCGAAAAAAUUAUUAAUAUAUAUCAAAAUGAGAAAAAUAAAAAAAAAAUAAGGAUUUUUAAUUUUUUGUUUUAAUUUGUUUGCUUUUUUUUUUAUAUUUAAUAAAACACUCUUUUGUUCAUAAGGAAGAAUUUUCCUUUUUCAUUAAAAGUUUCUUUUCUUUUUGGAAUGUUUUAUAAGAGAGAAUAUUUUUAUGAAAUAAAAUAAUCAGCAUUAUAUAUAUAUGUAUUUAUAUUAUAUAAUAAAUUGUAAAAGCUGAUAAUAUGUUAUAGUACAUAUCAUAUUUAUAUAUAAAAUUAAAAUUUUUAUAUUAAAUUAAAAAGUGAAUAAUAUGUUAUGUUUUUUAACAAACAAAACAUAUAUAAUAAUACAACGAAACAAUUAAAUGCACGAAUAGACCAUGCCACUAAAAAUUUUAUUUUCCUAUAGAAAUUAAUAUUUUGGGGAAAUAUAUGUAACAAAGAAACUUUUGAAAAGAAAUGUUUAACACACACAUAAACACAUAAAGUACUGUUAAUAUGAUAUAUAUUUAUAUUAUUAUUAAUAUGUAUAUUAAUCAAGUGAAAUAGAUACAAAGUUUUUUAUAUAUUUAUAUAUAUUAUUAAUGUGUACAAUAUUUUUAUAUGAAUGUAUAUAUAUAUAUAUAUAUAUAUAUAUUUUAUAUUGCUGUUUUAAGAGAUAAGUUGUUUAUUUUUUUAUAUAUUAUAAAUAUUAUAUAUUUCAUUAUAUAUUUCAUGAAAUUAUUGCUAAAUUUUUAAUAUUUACACAUAAUUGUAAUUUUUAUUAUAUAAUUUAUUUGUUUGUUUUGAUAUCAUAUAAAAAAGAAUACACACGUCACAGUGUUCUUUAUAUAUAAUACAUUAUUUAUAUAUAAGUUUUGUUUUGUUUUAAUAUAAGAAAAAAGCACACGUCGCAGUGUUUUUAUAAUAUAAUAUGUACAUAUUUGUUUUGUUUUGUUGUAAUAAAAAAAAAAAAAGCACACAGUCACAGUGUUUUUAUAAUAUAAUAUAAUAUUUACAUAUUUGUUUUGUUUUGUUUGUUUUAAUGUAAGAAAAAAACACACGUCACAGUGUUUUUAUAAUAUAAUAUUUACAUAUUUAUUUUGUUUGUUUUGAUAUCAUAUAAAAAAGAAUACACACGUCACAGUGUUCCUUAUAUAUAAUACAUUAUUUAUAUAUAAGUUUUGUUUUGUUUUAAUAUAAGAAAAAAGCACACGUCGCAGUGUUUUUAUAAUAUAAUAUGUACAUAUUUAUUUUGUUUGUUUUGAUAUCAUAUAAAAAAGAAUACACACGUCACAGUGUUCUUUAUAUAAUACAUUAUUUAUAUAUUUGUUUUGUUUUGUUUGUUUUAAUAUAAGAAAAAAGCACACGUCGCAGUGUUUUUACAAUAUAAUAUUUACAUAUUUGUUUUGUUGUAAUAUAAAAAAAAACACACGUCACAGUGUUUUUACAAUAUAAUAUUUACAUAUUUGUUUGUUUUGAUGUAAUAUAAAAAAGCACACGUCACAGUGUUUUUUAUUUAAUGUAUUAUUUACAUAUUUGUUUUGUUUUGUUGUAAUAUAAAAAAAAAAGCACACAGUCAUAGUGUUUUUAUAAUAUAAUAUUUACAUAUUUGUUUUGUUUUAUAAAGCACUUGUUUUAUUUUAAUGUUGUUUUAUUGGUUAAUAUUAUUUUAUUUUUAAUAUAUUAUACGUUUUGAAUAUAUGAUAAUCAAUUAUUAAUUAUUUCCAUAUAGAUAUAAUUUUUUCUUUUUUUUUUGAUUAAUAGUCAAUUUUUAUUGUGUUUUAAAUUAGUGUGUUUAGCUUUUGACACUUUUUAUGUGUGUGUGUGUGUGAUUUUGGGUGUAAGAAUAAUAUUUAGUUCAUACUAUUUUAUUAAAAAAACAUAUAUAUAUCUACUCACUAUAUAAAGAAAAUGACUUUCUCGAAGGUUUAUUUUUAUAAUAUAACCAAAACGUGUAAAUAUGAUUAGAAUUAUAAUAAUUUGAAAGAUUUAAAUUUUUUUUUAAAAGUUUGGAUUAAGUAGAAUAGAUAUUAUUAAUAUGUAAAUCAAUUUUUUUUUUUUUUUAUAUAACAUUUUCAUGUUAAUUUUGGAAAACGUUAUUUUUCUAUUUCAUAUUACACAAAAUACAGUUUUGGUUAGCAAAAAUGUUAUAUAAAUAUCUGGGUUUUGAAACGUACAGAAGUAUUUUGUAGUGGGAGAGAGAAAGGUAAUAUAUGAAUAUGGUGGUACUUUAACGUUUUGGUGUAACGCUCCUGUGGUGAAUAGAGUUAUUGGUUUCAACAAUAGUAAAAAGAUUCGUACAGAGAUCACAUAUAUUUAUAUAUAGUGGUCUGAAUUAUCUCUAACACUAUUUGAUUAUUAUUCUGUGUAUACAUUUGGUAGAUUCCCUCCGUAUACUUAAGUAUGUAUUGAAAGAAAAGGCUUAAUAUCAAAACGAUUGAUAGUAUAAAAAGUGAAAUACUUUUAUAUAAAUAUAUAAUAUAUACAUAUCAAUAAAUACAUAUAUAAAAAAUAUAUAUAUAUAUAUAUAUGUAUAUGUUUUGUGUCGAAUUGUAUUCUUUACAAUAUGUACUUUAAGUUAUAUGCAAAAUCACAAGUAUCAUUUGAUAUAUGCAACAUGUAAUAGUCAGCAGAUGACGGAUAAAAAAAAAAUUAUGAAAACUGUAAGUAUUGUUAUGGGUCUAACAGCACCUGCACUGUUGGGGGAUCUUAUUGUUAUUGCUACAAUCUGAAAAAUGUUCCCAUUUUAAGGACAAAAUCUCCUUACUAUGAAGAGAAUUGCCUUCAGCAACAAGGAUCAACUACUAUAUUUGUCAUUGUGAAGGUAUCGUUUCAUCGUAAUAAGUAUCAAACAUUGAUUAGGAAUGAAACUCUUAAAGUAAUAAAUUAUCAUUACUAUUUUGAGUUCUUCUAAUCUUUUAGGAAUACUUAUUGAAUGCAAAUUGAUUUUCUGCGUAGCACUGCUCAAAUAUUAUUAGAAAUUCGCGAAGCUCGGUAGUAAAAUAGUAUGAACAAGGUAGAAAAUGCAUUCAAAGUUAUCACACACACAUAUAUAAAAACAAACAAACAAAAAAAAACAAACAAAAAAAAACAAACAAAAAAAAACAAACAAAAAAAAACAAACAAAAAAGAAACAUUUGUCAUGUAUAUAUAUAUAUAUAUUAAUUUUUUUUAUUUGUUUGUCGUUUUUUAAUAUUUUAUUACUUAUAAUUAGUUAUAUUAUUAAUUUUUUAAAUAAUUUCAUGAUAAAAAUAAAUUGUAAAUUGUUAUGUAUGAAUAAUAAAAUGAUUACGUAUUAUAUAUUAAAUAUAUAUUUGAUUUAUACAUAUUUGAUUGUGUAUUUUUGUAUUUGUGUGUUUUUGGAUGUGUGUGUUUAUUUCAUUUGUGAUUGUGUGUGUGUUAUAGUGUUGCAUAUAAAAAAUUACAGGACCCGAUGUACCUAUUAGGAAAAUGAAUAUGUUGUUAAAGAUUUGUAUUUAUAUUAUGAACAAAUAAUAUAAGGGUAUAAUACAUUUUGCUUUAGAAAGAAUAAAAUGGAUUAUGGGAUAAGGAAUGUGAAUUAUAUGAUGCGGAGGAGAUAUGUAUGAAUAAAUAAUUGUAAUAUGAACGAAUAUAUAUACAAUUAUAGAUAUAUAUGAAUGGCAAUAAGUUGCACUUAAUGAGGUAUAUAGUUUAAUAUUCAUUAUUAAUAAAACAGAAGGAUAUUUAUAAGGCAUAUUAAUAUUAUAUGUUACAAUAUAUAUGAAGAAAGUGAUAUGAUGAAGGGCAUAUCUAUUUACUGGAUGGAUGAAGAUAUAUGAAGGACGAAUUUGGAAGGAUGUGUAUAUUUCUCUUAAAGGAAAAUUAUUAUCUUGGAAUCUAAACAUAUUGAUCAGAAAUUUUUUAUUUUACAUUGGCGAAUGUAUUUUACCCCAAAGGAUUUUAUUUUGCAUAAUAAAUAGUGGAACCUAA